AGCAGUCGCCGCGGUAAUACAGAGGGUGCGAGCGUUAAUCGGAUUUACUGGGCGUAAAGCGUGCGUAGGCGGCUUCUUAAGUCGGAUGUGAAAUCCCUGAGCUUAACUUAGGAAUUGCAUUCGAUACUGGGAAGCUAGAGUAUGGGAGAGGAUGGUAGAAUUCCAGGUGUAGCGGUGAAAUGCGUAGAGAUCUGGAGUAAUACCGAUGGCGAAGGCAGCCAUCUGGCCUAAUACUGACGCUGAGGUACGAAAGCAUGGGGAGCAAACAGGAUUAGAUACCCCCGUAGUCCCUGUCUCUUAUAC
RNAcentral lists this ribosomal RNA (303 nucleotides) under uncultured bacterium. Its description in RNAcentral is "partial 16S ribosomal RNA". It matches the Rfam family "Bacterial small subunit ribosomal RNA", at positions 507 to 807 of the family's 1533-position model. The record is from RNAcentral.